Molecule: ribosomal RNA, 399 nt
Filed under: uncultured bacterium
Lineage: Bacteria
Description: bacterial SSU rRNA
Rfam family: Bacterial small subunit ribosomal RNA
Source: RNAcentral
GACGAACGCUGGCGGCGCGCUUAACACAUGCAAGUCGAGCGAGAACCAGGCCUUCGGGCCUGGGGACAGCGGCGAACGGGUGAGUAACACGUGGGUAAUCAACCCUCGAUACUGGGAUAGCCCGGGGAAACCCGGAUUAAUACCGGAUGGCCCUUUGGUUCUUCGGAUCUGAAGGAAAAGGUAGCUUCGGCCUCCGAUCGAGGACGAGCCCGCGGCGGAUUAGCUAGUUGGUGAGGUAAAAGCUCACCAAGGCGACGAUCCUUAGCUGGUCUGAGAGGAUGAUCAGCCACACUGGGACUGAGACACGGCCCAGACUCCUACGGGAGGCAGCAGUGGGGAAUUUUGGACAAUGGGCGCAAGCCUGAUCCAGCAAUGCCGCGUGAGUGAAGAAGGCCUUGG